CCGAUAGCUCAGUAGGUAGAGCAAGGGACUGAAAAUCCCUGUGUCGCCGGUUCGAUCCCGGCUUGGGC
RNAcentral lists this transfer RNA (68 nucleotides) under human gut metagenome. It matches the Rfam family "tRNA". From Rfam's summary of the family: Transfer RNA (tRNA) molecules are approximately 80 nucleotides in length. Their secondary structure includes four short double-helical elements and three loops (D, anti-codon, and T loops). The record is from RNAcentral.